RNAcentral lists this ribosomal RNA (1324 nucleotides) under Papilio bianor (Chinese peacock). RNAcentral describes it as "large subunit ribosomal RNA". The stretch from base 1073 to 1231 matches the Rfam family "Eukaryotic large subunit ribosomal RNA", at positions 2825 to 2984 of the family's 3401-position model. Lineage: Eukaryota; Metazoa; Arthropoda; Insecta; Lepidoptera; Papilionidae. The record is from RNAcentral.
GGGGGAAAAAUUAAUAAUUAUUAUAUUAAUAAAAAAAUUUUUAAAUUAUAUUUUAAUGGGGGUUAAAGUAUAUAUAUAGAAAAAAUUUUUAAAUUUAUAGUAAAAUAGUAUUGUAAAAGAAUUUUGAAAUAGGGGAAAUUAAUUUAAUAAAAAGUAAGUUUAAUUUAUUGUAUCUUGUGUAUCAGAGUUUAUUAAUAAUAUUUUUUGGGUAAAAAUUUCUCGAAUUUAAAAGAGUUAAUUAAUUAUAAAAGUUAAUGUAGUAUAAUUAUUUUUAAUAGUUAAUUAGAAAUGAAAUGUUAAUCGUUUUUAAAAAUAUCUAGUUUUUUUAGAAAAAAAUUUAAUUUUAAAUAUUAUAAUUUAAAAUUUUUAUUUAAUAAAAUUUUAAUGGUUAAUAUUAAAUAUUUUAAGGGAUAAGCUUUAAAAUAAAUUUUUAUAAUUAAUUUUAAAAUUAAUUAAAAUUUUAAAAUUUAAAUUGUUUAAUAAAUUAUAAUUUUUUAUAAAUAAUUUAAUUAUAAUUAAAAUUUAAUAAAAAAAAUUUAAAUUUUUAUAAAAAAAUAUAUUUUAAUAAAAUAAAAUUAAAUAUAAUGAUAAAAUUAGUAUAUAAAUUCAAAUAAAUAAAUGAAUUUAAUUGAAGUUAAUUAAAGGAAUUCGGCAAAAUUUAUAUUCACUUGUUUAUCAAAAACCCCUCUUUUUGAAAAUAAUUUAAAGUCUAAUCCGCCCACUGAUAAAUUAUUAAAGGGCUGCAGUAUUUUGACUGUACAAAGGUAGCAUAAUCAUUAGUCUCUUAAUUGGUGACUUGUAUGAAAGAUUGGAUGAAAUAUAUACUGUCUCUAUUUAAUUUAUAAAAUUUAAUUUUUUAGUAAAAAAGCUAAAAUGAAUUUAAAAGACGAGAAGACCCUAUAGAGUUUGAUAAUUUAUUUAAUUAUUAUUAAUAUAUAAAUUUUAAAAUUAAAAUUAAAUAAAUUAUUUUGUUGGGGUGAUAGAAAAAUUAAAUUAACUUUUUUUUAUUUUAUACAUUAAUUUAUGAAUGAAUGAUCCAUUAAUAAUGAUUAAAAGAAAAAAUUACCUUAGGGAUAACAGCGUAAUUUUUUUUUUUAGUUCAAAUAGGAAAAAAAGUUUGCGACCUCGAUGUUGGAUUAAGAUAAAAUUUAAAUGCAAAAGUUUAAAAUUUUGAUCUGUUCGAUCAUUAAAAUCUUACAUGAUCUGAGUUCAAACCGGUGUGAGCCAGGUUGGUUUCUAUCUUUAAAUAAGAAUGAUAUUUUAGUACGAAAGGAUCAAAUAUCAAAAAUAAUUUUAAUAAAAUGAAUAUUAAUAAAUAAUUAAU